CCAAUGUUGUCUGUAGAGCAUUUAACCAAAGGCCCUAGAAGGAAAGUAUUGAGAAAGGGCGCAUGCUUUAUUCAGUUUGUAUAUAUUACACAUGAGGUGACUAUGAAACUCCUGCAUAAACAAUUGGCUGCAAGGAACGUGACAAUGAAGAGAUCUGGUUAAAUCGAGUUUUGAGGCCUUCUUCACCACGGGGAAGAGCCGUUCCAGGGCAUAGGAUCCAGGGCAGCCUCCUGACUUGACUGUAGAUCGGAUGAAACAGGCUUUGUGGGGGACUAGGAGGUGAUCGAUCACUAGCACAGUCUGGAACAAUGUCUGUGAUGCCUUGCCAGCACCCAUUGGUUCAGCAAAUCUUGGCUGAGAAACUCUUCAGGACUUCUGGUGAAUAAAAUGGAUGCACUUCUGCUGGGUAUCAAUGAAGUGGACGCACUUCUGCUGGGCAUCCUGGAGUGAUGGAGACGACACAAAGCAAACUAUGGAAUAGCUGGUAUUCUGGCUUCCUAUCUGUUAGUGUGAUAACACACUUGGACACAUUGAGGUGGAAAGAUUGAUCGCAGUGUACAGGUUGCAGUCACCACUGAAGAAAGUCAGGACGAGAACUCAAGCAGGAACCUGAAGAUGGUCUGCUUGGUAUCCCACCCACACAGCCAAGGAAGCAAUCAAAGACGGUUAUGGUGCCUGCAGCUCCUCAAUCCCUGUCCCUGGCCUGCUAAAGAUGCCAGGAUCUGGUCCUGGAUGAAGAUAAAUUACAGGAGACCACGUCAUCACCAUAUGUGUU
This is a long non-coding RNA of Mus musculus (house mouse), 775 nucleotides long. RefSeq annotates it as predicted gene, 32534. NCBI's taxonomy places the organism in Eukaryota, Metazoa, Chordata, Mammalia, Rodentia, Muridae. The record is from RefSeq and is a predicted model, not a curated record. The transcript is spliced from 3 exons.